AACCGGGACCUACUGCUGUGUGAAUUCAUUCAGAAAAGGAAACAAAGUGACAGAGCCCCUAACUAGACACACUUUAUUUUCCUCACAGUACAUUCUACAAAUGCACAGGUGUUACAUCCAUACGUGUUCUACAAAUGCACAUGUACAUCCGUAAUACGUUCUACAAAUGCACAGGUGUUACGCAACAUUGGUAUAACGUU
Molecule: long non-coding RNA, 200 nt
Organism: Anguilla rostrata (American eel)
Lineage: Eukaryota; Metazoa; Chordata; Actinopteri; Anguilliformes; Anguillidae
Exons: 2
Source: RefSeq, a predicted model, not a curated record